GCUACACCCUUCUGCUAAAAAAAUAAAACUCUUUUUUCAAUUAACCCUAUUUAGCUUCUGCUGGAGCUCGAAUUCGGUGACCGACAGUCCGAAUCGGCAACGGCUACUGGGUUUGAGGCUCUUCUUUAACUGAAAUAGGUUUGCCGUUUGCAUAUUACAAGACAAGAUCAAUUAUAUUAUGUUUUGUUGAACUAAAAGCCUCUUCACUUCAAGGAUAAAAAAUUUCACAAAUUGCAAGUGCGGUGCAGCAUUUGGCACCGCGGAAGAUUUGGCAGGCCACAAAGAUAUCUGCCCCUGUGCUUUGGGGAAACUACUAACAGGAUUGCAAAGGCAUUAGCAGCAAAUCGAGAAGCCGAGAUGAAGAAGCGGAAUCUAGAAGAAGAGUUGGUAAUCUCAUCUUCCUAGUUGCCUUCCAAAUCCUCCGCGCUUUGCGGAAUUUCACAAAGCGGAAAGGUUCUGAUUUUGUACAAUGCUUUGGUUCUGGUUUUGGUGGAAUCACAGGGUAAUCAGUUGUUAGCUAAUUCGAGGUUGUUGUUAUUGUUGUUGUUGUUUUUCUAAAAUUUAUCCAUCAUUUCUAAAUUUAAAUAAACAUAUGUAAGGAAAAAGAGUGAUUUUAC
Non-coding RNA from Nicotiana tabacum (common tobacco), 617 nucleotides. The record is from RefSeq and is a predicted model, not a curated record. Lineage: Eukaryota; Viridiplantae; Streptophyta; Magnoliopsida; Solanales; Solanaceae.